Molecule: unclassified non-coding RNA, 698 nt
Filed under: Hevea brasiliensis (rubber tree)
Lineage: Eukaryota; Viridiplantae; Streptophyta; Magnoliopsida; Malpighiales; Euphorbiaceae
Source: RNAcentral
GAUGAAAGAUGGUAAGAAAAAAAGAAUACAAAGCAACUUAUUUUCAAAAUGCCAUAUUAGAACUACAGUAUUUGAACAUAUAAAAUUUCUCCGUUGCCAUCCAUCGUUUGUCUUUUCUUUUGAAUUAAUGGAGCCAUUACCUUGACUAAUUCUAAGCUCAAAAAGAAGCAUUUUGCUUCCUUAGCAGGAAAUGCACAAGUUCGUUUUUUCUGCUGAUUAACCUAUUCGAACUUCUUUAGCCUGAAUUUGCUCGUGGGGAAUCUGCUGAGGACGCGAUGAUCCAGCUUUUGGUAAUGGCAUUGAAACUUUUCGAGAGCAUUAUAUACGAAGCCAUCAACUUGAUCAUCAUACCUUUCAUACAGCACGGGAAGCACAUGUGCAGCAACAAAGCCAAUGUACAGAACAGUAAAAAAAUUGCACCAGCUUCCAAUAAUAGCAGCAACCAACAAGCUCGCCACAACCGCUAAGAAUUGUUUGAUGUUAGUCCCACAGGCAACAUCUUGAAGGAAGCCCAAAGCACGGUUUACUUCAGCUCCUAUUGACUUGGCGAUGCUGAUGAAAAGGUCAUCACCUAAGACAAGACGAGGGACCUUAGCUGGAGACCUGUUUAUCAUGCCAGAAGCAUUUUUCCAAAGAAACUGAAUAAUCAUACCAAUGACAAGAGCAAAGCAUAGAAGUGAAAGAAAAUUGUAGUUCAG